UCUGCCUGAUACCUUACCAUUUAGAAUUCAGCUUCAAUGUCACCUAAUUAAACAGCCUCCCUUGAACACGCAAGCCUCCCCUGAACACCCUUGAACACCAAGCUUACCCAAGCUAAGUAGUUGCUGCCAUUCUCAUCACUUUACCCUAGUUUACUUCUCCUCAUAGUCUAUAUAUUUACUGGAAAUGUUUUACUUAUUUGAUUCCUUCUUGCUUUAACUCCCCUUGUCUAGAACAUGAGUUCUAUGAGAGCAGGGACCUUAUCUGCUUGCAUCCAACUGGUCUCCAAGUACCUGGAAGAGGUCUCAGCCAUUGAAAGCAAACAAUAAGCCCUCACUUCAGUGAAGAACUCCCCCAAUUCCAGUUCUGAUGACUUCUAUGAAGAACAAAAUGUUAUCAAGCAUGCUUUCCCACCCCCAUUCUCCUGGUUCAACAUACAUCAGGGGAAUGAGCUAACUCCUUUUGUACUUCAAGGCCUGGUAUCCAUCAAUUACUGGUGCCAUCAAAACCAUAGUCCUUGCCGUCUCUGUGGUUCAUCCUUAGGGAUGAACUUUGACGUACUUCCUAACACCAAUUGAAAGCAGCGUGUUUCUCAAGGCUCAGACAACAUUUAAGAUGCAAUAGGAGCUUGAAUUAUCAAAUGAGCUCCUCAUCUAACGAGAAAAAAAGAAGACGGGGAUUCAGAUCGGAAGUCACUUUCCUGAAUGUCAUUUUGUUUAGAGUGGCCUCUGUGUGAAUAGCAUCUAAGACCAGGGAAAAGAGUGACUUCAGGCUCAGAAAGCAGAUGACAAUUCCCAUCAAGUCACUAGA
Molecule: long non-coding RNA, 808 nt
Organism: Balaenoptera acutorostrata (minke whale)
Lineage: Eukaryota; Metazoa; Chordata; Mammalia; Artiodactyla; Balaenopteridae
Exons: 5
Source: RefSeq, a predicted model, not a curated record